GACGAACGCUGUUGGCGCGCUUAACACAUGCAAGUCGAACGGAAAGGCCCUGCUUUUGUGGGGUGCUCGAGUGGCGAACGGGUGAGUAACACGUGAGUAACCUGCCCUUGACUUUGGGAUAACUUCAGGAAACUGGGGCUAAUACCGGAUAGGAGCUCCUGCUGCAUGGUGGGGGUUGGAAAGUUUCGGCGGUUGGGGAUGGACUCGCGGCUUAUCAGCUUGUUGGUGGGGUAGUGGCUUACCAAGGCUUUGACGGGUAGCCGGCCUGAGAGGGUGACCGGCCACAUUGGGACUGAGAUACGGCCCAGACUCCUACGGGAGGCAGCAGUGGGGAAUAUUGCACAAUGGGCGGAAGCCUGAUGCAGCAACGCCGCGUGCGGGAUGACGGCCUUCGGGUUGUAAACCGCUUUCGCCUGUGACGAAGCGUGAGUGACGGUAAUGGGUAAAGAAGCACCGGCUAACUACGUGCCAGCAGCCGCGGUGAUACGUAGGGUGCGAGCGUUGUCCGGAUUUAUUGGGCGUAAAGGGCUCGUAGGUGGUUGAUCGCGUCGGAAGUGUAAUCUUGGGGCUUAACCCUGAGCGUGCUUUCGAUACGGGUUGACUUGAGGAAGGUAGGGGAGAAUGGAAUUCCUGGUGGAGCGGUGGAAUGCGCAGAUAUCAGGAGGAACACCAGUGGCGAAGGCGGUUCUCUGGGCCUUUCCUGACGCUGAGGAGCGAAAGCGUGGGGAGCGAACAGGCUUAGAUACCCUGGUAGUCCACGCUGUAAACGGUGGGUACUAGGUGUGGGGUCCAUUCCACGGGUUCCGUGCCGUAGCUAACGCUUUAAGUACCCCGCCUGGGGAGUACGGCCGCAAGGCUAAAACUCAAAGGAAUUGACGGGGCCCCGCACAAGCGGCGGAGCAUGCGGAUUAAUUCGAUGCAACGCGUAGAACCUUACCUGGGUUUGACAUGGAUCGGGAGUGCUCAGAGAUGGGUGUGCCUCUUUUGGGGUCGGUUCACAGGUGGUGCAUGGCUGUCGUCAGCUCGUGUCGUGAGAUGUUGGGUUAAGUCCCGCAACGAGCGCAACCCUUGUUCACUGUUGCCAGCACGUUAUGGUGGGGACUCAGUGGAGACCGCCGGGGUCAACUCGGAGGAAGGUGGGGAUGACGUCAAGUCAUCAUGCCCCUUAUGUCCGGGGCUUCACGCAUGCUACAAUGGCUGGUACAGAGAGUGGCGAGCCUGUGAGGGUGAGCGAAUCUCGGAAAGCCGGUCUCAGUUCGGAUUGGGGUCUGCAACUCGACCUCAUGAAGUCGGAGUCGCUAGUAAUCGCAGAUCAGCAACGCUGCGGUGAAUACGUUCCCGGG
This 1343-nucleotide ribosomal RNA is filed under the name uncultured bacterium. RNAcentral describes it as "16S ribosomal RNA". It matches the Rfam family "Bacterial small subunit ribosomal RNA", at positions 28 to 1378 of the family's 1533-position model. The record is from RNAcentral.